This 462-nucleotide ribosomal RNA is filed under the name uncultured bacterium. Its description in RNAcentral is "partial 16S ribosomal RNA". It matches the Rfam family "Bacterial small subunit ribosomal RNA", at positions 28 to 507 of the family's 1533-position model. The record is from RNAcentral.
GACGAACGCUGGCGGCGUGCUUAACACAUGCAAGUCGAGCGGAAAGGCCCUUCGGGGUACUCGAGCGGCGAACGGGUGAGUAACACGUGAGUAACCUGCCCCAGACUUUGGGAUAACCCUCGGAAACGGGGGCUAAUACCGGAUACGACACAGCUUCGCAUGGGGUCUGUGUGGAAAGUUUUUCGGUUUGGGAUGGGCUCGCGGCCUAUCAGCUUGUUGGUGGGGUGAUGGCCUACCAAGGCGACGACGGGUAGCCGGCCUGAGAGGGCGACCGGCCACACUGGGACUGAGACACGGCCCAGACUCCUACGGGAGGCAGCAGUGGGGAAUAUUGCACAAUGGGCGGAAGCCUGAUGCAGCGACGCCGAGUGAGGGAUGACGGCCUUCGGGUUGUAAACCUCUUUCAGCAGGGACGAAGCGUAAGUGACGGUACCUGCAGAAGAAGCGCCGGCCAACUACGUG